RNAcentral lists this ribosomal RNA (414 nucleotides) under uncultured microorganism. Its description in RNAcentral is "bacterial SSU rRNA". It matches the Rfam family "Archaeal small subunit ribosomal RNA", at positions 459 to 872 of the family's 1478-position model. The record is from RNAcentral.
CACCAGCCGCGGUAAUACCGGCGGCCCGAGUGGCGGUCACUAUUAUUGGGCUUAAAGCGUCCGUAGCCGGGUUGGGAAGUCCUCCGGGAAAUCUGGCCGCUUAACGGUCAGAAUGCCGGAGGAUACUCCCAGCCUAGGGAGCGGGGGAGGCCGAGGGGAUUCCCGGGGUAGGGGGGAAAUCCUAUAAUCCCGGGAGGACCACCUGUGGCGAAGGCGCUCGGCUGGAACGCGUCCGACGGUGAGGGACGAAGGCCAGGGGAGCAAACCGGAUUAGAUACCCGGGUAGUCCUGGCUGUAAACGAUGCGGACUUUGUGUCGGACAAGCUAUGAGCUUGUCCGGUGCCGGAGGGAAACCGUUAAGUCCGCCGCCUGGGGAGUACGGCCGCAAGGCUGAAACUUAAAGGAAUUGGCGGG